GAGGACGUAGCUCAGUUGGUCAGAGUAUUGGCCUGUCACGUCAAAGGCCGCGGGUUCGAUCCCCGUCGUCCUCG
This 74-nucleotide transfer RNA is filed under the name Coccomyxa subellipsoidea C-169. RNAcentral's name for it is "tRNA-Asp". It matches the Rfam family "tRNA". From Rfam's summary of the family: Transfer RNA (tRNA) molecules are approximately 80 nucleotides in length. Their secondary structure includes four short double-helical elements and three loops (D, anti-codon, and T loops). Further hydrogen bonds mediate the characteristic L-shaped molecular structure. tRNAs have two regions of fundamental functional importance: the anti-codon, which is responsible for specific mRNA codon recognition, and the 3' end, to which the tRNAs corresponding amino acid is attached (by aminoacyl-tRNA synthetases). tRNAs cope with the degeneracy of the genetic code in two manners: having more than one tRNA (with a specific anti-codon) for a particular amino acid; and 'wobble' base-pairing, i.e. permitting non-standard base-pairing at the 3rd anti-codon position. Lineage: Eukaryota; Viridiplantae; Chlorophyta; Trebouxiophyceae; Coccomyxaceae. The record is from RNAcentral.